GUAUUUUGACAAAUAACCAUCAGAUUAUCAUCAAAGGUUCGGUUACUAUAGGUAUUUGUUAUUCUAUAUAGUAUAUAUCAUAAGUUUUAGUCCAUCAAGUAUAGCAAGAUUAUCAUAGAAGCCAUGCAUAGAGGUAGGAAGAUGAAUCCUCCAUUUUAAGACCUCUUUUGUAUUCACCAAUGCACAAGUUGUCAUAAGACAACAAGGAUGGUCAUGAAUGGAUUAUUACAGAAAUGAAAUAUACUAACUAACUAACUAAGAAGAAACAUCAAGUGAUGUAUGGAUUUGUAAGUAGGAUAGCCCAAGCUAUCCAAAUAAUCACACACAUUCAAGUUCAAGACUUGUUCAUCACUUGUGGGUUAAAACCCUUUUAAAACAGAAAGUUUUUGAGGAUUAAACCUCUGGAUUUACAUGUUACAACCUUGCUUUUAAGCACACAUAAUCAUAGUCUUGAUUAGUGGCAUAAGGACAAAGGAAUGUAUGAAGAAAUCAUAAGUUAAGUAUGUUUAUCAAAGUGUUUGCAUAAAACAGAAAGUUUUUUGCACUUUUAACCUUAUUAUGGUGAUGUUCCAGCCUUGGUUUUCCAUGGAAACAUACCUAAGGUUGUUCCAAGUGCUAAGAAGAAAGAAUGAAUGAAAAAGAUGGAAGAUAAGGUGUUUGAGAGUGAAAGUGAGGUGUUUGCAAAGUGGAAAAUGUGUGGGGAUGGGUUGGGUUUUAUAGGAAAUGAUUAGGGUUAGUGGUUGAGGGUAAUCAAUGCAAGAAACACACCAAACUAGCACAAAAUCGCCCAAUGGUUAAGGCUGUUUGAAAAUUUUUGCGGAUUUGACGUCCUCGCGGGGCGCGAAUGGGAUGUGGGUGCGGGUGCAUCCCGCGAGCCACUUGGCUGAUGGAUUUAUUUGGUUAUUUUUACAUUUUUGGUCCCUAUAGUUCCAUAUUGUUAUGUUUCAAGGUGUUUUAAGCAUAAAAUGCAAAUUGUAAGGGUAUCUUAUGUAAUUAAAGCAUAAAGUGAGUAUAAAAUAAGCAUGAAUAGGUACAUGAGUCGAGAAUUAGUAUUGUAUAAGUAUGAAUUUAGCACGUGAGUCAAGUAUUUGUAAGUUUAACAUAUUUUGCAUGAAUUACGAAUAGGUUACCACAUGUAAAAUAAAUUUAAAUGUAUGAACGUGUAAGAAUAUGUAGAAUGUGAAUUUAACGAAAUACGAAUUUUGU
RNAcentral lists this long non-coding RNA (1206 nucleotides) under Helianthus annuus (common sunflower). RNAcentral's name for it is "hypothetical non coding rna". Lineage: Eukaryota; Viridiplantae; Streptophyta; Magnoliopsida; Asterales; Asteraceae. The record is from RNAcentral.